RNAcentral lists this ribosomal RNA (292 nucleotides) under uncultured Frankiales bacterium. RNAcentral's name for it is "partial 16S ribosomal RNA". It matches the Rfam family "Bacterial small subunit ribosomal RNA", at positions 505 to 796 of the family's 1533-position model. The record is from RNAcentral. Lineage: Bacteria; Bacillati; Actinomycetota; Actinomycetes; Frankiales.
GUGUCAGCCGCCGCGGUAAUACAUAGGGUGCAAGCGUUGUCCGGAAUUAUUGGGCGUAAAGAGCUCGUAGGUGGUUCGUCACGUCGGAUGUGAAACUCUGGGGCUUAACCCCAGACCUGCAUUCGAUACGGGCGAGCUUGAGUAUGGUAGGGGAGUCUGGAAUUCCUGGUGUAGCGGUGGAAUGCGCAGAUAUCAGGAGGAACACCAAUGGCGAAGGCAGGACUCUGGGCCAUUACUGACACUGAGGAGCGAAAGCGUGGGGAGCGAACAGGAUUAGAUACCCCCGUAGUCC